CGUAGGGCGCAAGCGUUGUCCGGAAUUAUUGGGCGUAAAGAGCUCGUAGGCGGCUUGUCACGUCGGAUGUGAAAGCCCGGGGCUUAACCCCGGGUCCGCAUUCGAUACGGGCUAGCUAGAGUGUGGUAGGGGAGAUCGGAAUUCCUGGUGUAGCGGUGAAAUGCGCAGAUAUCAGGAGGAACACCGGUGGCGAAGGCGGAUCUCUGGGCCAUUACUGACGCUGAGGAGCGAAAGCGUGGGGAGCGAACAGGAUUAGAUACCCUGGUAGUCCACGCCGUAAACGUUGGGAACUAGGUGUUGGCGACAUUCCACGUCGUCGGUGCCGCAGCUAACGCAUUAAGUUCCCCGCCUGGGGAGUACGGCCGCAAGGCUA
Molecule: ribosomal RNA, 373 nt
Filed under: uncultured organism
Description: bacterial SSU rRNA
Rfam family: Bacterial small subunit ribosomal RNA
Source: RNAcentral